Molecule: unclassified non-coding RNA, 335 nt
Filed under: soil metagenome
Also listed under: 1 other name
Description: partial contains 5.8S ribosomal RNA, internal transcribed spacer 2, and large subunit ribosomal RNA
Rfam family: 5.8S ribosomal RNA (bases 1-102)
Source: RNAcentral
GAAUCGCGAUAUGUAAUGUGAUCUGCAUUUAGUGAAUCAUCGAAUCUUUGAACGCAUCUUGCGCCCAAGGGUAAUCCUUUGGGCACGCCUGUUUCAGUGUUAUGUUAAACCCAAAAUCUCUUUUUUGGUGAUGUAACGUUGGGCUUGCCAAUCAUUUUUUUGAUCGGUCUUGCUUGGAAUGAUAUCAAUUCCAGUCGGAUCACCUUAUUCUUCAGAUCAGGCUUUGGUAGACUACCGAAAGUCGCGUUUGAACGGAUUUAGGCCCGAAUUGAUGGGAUUUUUAAACAUUUUCAAUAUUUAACCUGAAAUCAGGCGGGACUACCCGCUGAACUUAA